GACGAACGCUGGCGGCGUGCCUAAUACAUGCAAGUUGAGCGCUGAAGGUUGGUACUUGUACCAACUGGAUGAGCAGCGCACGGGUGAGUAACGCGUGGGGAAUCUGCCUUUGAGCGGGGGACAACAUUUGGAAACGAAUGCUAAUACCGCAUAAAAACUUUAAACACAAGUUUUAAGUUUGAAAGAUGCAAUUGCAUCACUCAAAGAUGAUCCCGCGUUGUAUUAGCUAGUUGGUGAGGUAAAGGCUCACCAAGGCGAUGAUACAUAGCCGACCUGAGAGGGUGAUCGGCCACAUUGGGACUGUGACACGGCCCAAACACCCACGGGAGGCAGCAGUAGGGAAACUUCGGCAAUGGGCGAAAGUCUGACCGAGCAACGCCGCGUGAGUAAAGAGGGGUUUCGGGUCGUAAAACUCUGUUGGUAGGGAAGAACGUUGGUGAGAGUGGAAAGCUCAGCAAGUGACGGUAACUACCCAGAAAGGGACGGCUAACUACGUG
This 497-nucleotide ribosomal RNA is filed under the name uncultured bacterium. RNAcentral describes it as "partial 16S ribosomal RNA". It matches the Rfam family "Bacterial small subunit ribosomal RNA", at positions 28 to 507 of the family's 1533-position model. The record is from RNAcentral.